AUAAGCGGAGGAAAAGAAACCAACAGGGAUUGCCCUAGUAACGGCGAGUGAAGCGGCAACAGCUCAAAUUUGAAAUCUGGCUCUUUCAGGGUCCGAGUUGUAAUUUGCAGAGGGCGCUUUGGCGUUGGCAGCGGUCCAAGUUCCUUGGAACAGGACGUCACAGAGGGUGAGAAUCCCGUACGUGGUCGCUAACCUUCGCCGUGUAAAGCCCCUUCGACGAGUCGAGUUGUUUGGGAAUGCAGCUCUAAAUGGGAGGUAAAUUUCUUCUAAAGCUAAAUACUGGCCAGAGACCGAUAGCGCACAAGUAGAGUGAUCGAAAGAUGAAAAGCACUUUGGAAAGAGAGUCAAAUAGCACGUGAAAUUGUUGAAAGGGAAGCGCUUGCAGCCAGACUUGCCUGUAGUUGCUCAUCCGGACUCUUGUCCGGUGCACUCUUCUGCGGGCAGGCCAGCAUCAGUUUGGGCGGUUGGAGAAAGGUCUCUAUCACGUACAUCCCUUCGGGGUUGCCUUAUAGGGGAGACGUCAUGCAACCAGCCUGGACUGAGGUCCGCGCAUCUGCUAGGAUGCUGGCGUAAUGGCUGUAAGCGGCCCGUCUUGAAACACGGACCAAGGAGUCUAACAUCUAUGCGAGUGUUUGGGUGUCAAGCCCGAGCGCGUAAUGAAAGUGAACGGAGGUGGGAACCCUUAAGGGUGCACCAUCGACCGAUCCUGAUGUCUUCGGAUGGAUUUGAGUAAGAGCAUGGCUGUUGGGACCCGAAAGAUGGUGAACUAUGCUUGAAUAGGGUGAAGCCAGAGGAAACUCUGGUGGAGGCUCGCAGCGGUUCUGACGUGCAAAUCGAUCGUCAAAUUUGGGCAUAGGGGCGAAAGACUAAUCGAACUAUCUAGUAGCUGGUUCCUGC
RNAcentral lists this ribosomal RNA (897 nucleotides) under Neoconiothyrium viticola. Its description in RNAcentral is "partial large subunit ribosomal RNA". It matches the Rfam family "Eukaryotic large subunit ribosomal RNA", at positions 46 to 961 of the family's 3401-position model. The record is from RNAcentral. Lineage: Eukaryota; Fungi; Ascomycota; Dothideomycetes; Pleosporales; Coniothyriaceae.